AAGCUACUCCCUCCGACCCAUAUUACUUGUCGAAAUAUUACAUAUAUCUAGAUGCCUUUUAAACAUAGAUACAUCCAUAUUUGGGCAAAUUUGAGACAAGUAAUAUGUGUCGGAGGGAGUAGGUU
Molecule: non-coding RNA, 125 nt
Organism: Brachypodium distachyon (stiff brome)
Lineage: Eukaryota; Viridiplantae; Streptophyta; Magnoliopsida; Poales; Poaceae
Source: Rfam